UGGCAUCCUACACAUGUUGCCUCUAGUGAGC
RNAcentral lists this non-coding RNA (31 nucleotides) under Rattus norvegicus (Norway rat). Lineage: Eukaryota; Metazoa; Chordata; Mammalia; Rodentia; Muridae. The record is from RNAcentral.